RNAcentral lists this ribosomal RNA (475 nucleotides) under uncultured bacterium. Its description in RNAcentral is "bacterial SSU rRNA". It matches the Rfam family "Bacterial small subunit ribosomal RNA", at positions 97 to 590 of the family's 1533-position model. The record is from RNAcentral.
GGCGAACGGGUGAGUAAUACAAAAGCAACCUACCUCGGAGUGGGGUAUAAUCCCGCGAAAGCGGGACUAAUCCCCCAUAUUCUCUUAGAACGUCGGUUUUAUGAGGAAAGGCUUCGGUCGCUCCGAGAUGGGCUUUUGGCCCAUCAGCUUGUUGGUGAGGUAACGGCCCACCAAGGCUAUGACGGGUAGGGGGUGUGAGAGCAUGUCCCCCCACAUGGGAACUGCGACACGGUCCCAACUCCUACGGGAGGCAGCAGUCUAGAAAUUUGCGCAAUGGGCGAAAGCCUGACGCAGCGACGCCGCGUGAGGGAUGGAGUCCUUCGGGAUGUAAACCUCUGUUGAGGGGGACGAUGAUGACGGUACCCCUCGAGGAAGCCUCGGCUAACUCCGUGCCAGCAGCCGCGGUAAUACGGAGGAGGCAAGCGUUGUCCGGAAUCACUGGGUGUAAAGGGUGUGUAGGUGGCCUGCUGGGUCA